GAGAUUUAAGAGGUAUCUUAACAUAAUUAGAAUUUAAAUUUAAAUCAAAAAGGUUAAUUUUCAGCAACAUACGUAUCUUGUUUAAGAGCUAGAGAUGGGUAUGUUACGUACACGUGGCAGAAUAUGGAUGGCUAUAUUUGUUAUUACUCAGUUUUUUUUUCUCUCUCUCACUUUUUUUUUUCAUCAAUCUCUCUCCCCCGGCCAAACAAUAUGACAAUAAUAUCUCUUUUUUUUUUUGGUUUUUUAAGAUUUUUGUAACAGACUUAUUGUUGCUUCUUUAUAUGUAUCUUAGGUAUGUUUUAAAUUUUAAAUUUUGCAAUAAUUAUAAAAAAAUCAAAU
RNAcentral lists this long non-coding RNA (339 nucleotides) under Capsella rubella. RNAcentral's name for it is "long non-coding RNA (CRUB_LNC001745)". The record is from RNAcentral. Lineage: Eukaryota; Viridiplantae; Streptophyta; Magnoliopsida; Brassicales; Brassicaceae.